UACGGGGGGGGUAAGCGUUGUUCGGAAUUAUUGGGCGUAAAGAGCUCGUAGGCGGUCUGUCGCGUCGGCUGUGAAAACCCGGAGCUCAACUCCGGGCCUGCAGUCGAUACGGGCAGACUAGAGUGAUGUAGGGGAGACUGGAAUUCCUGGUGUAGCGGUGAAAUGCGCAGAUAUCAGGAGGAACACCGAUGGCGAAGGCAGGUCUCUGGGCAUUAACUGACGCUGAGGAGCGAAAGCAUGGGGAGCGAACAGG
This 253-nucleotide ribosomal RNA is filed under the name uncultured bacterium. RNAcentral describes it as "partial 16S ribosomal RNA". It matches the Rfam family "Bacterial small subunit ribosomal RNA", at positions 524 to 776 of the family's 1533-position model. The record is from RNAcentral.